AAAUUGAAGAGUUUGAUCAUGGCUCAGAUUGAACGCUGGCGGCAGGCCUAACACAUGCAAGUCGAGCGGUAGCACAGAGAGCUUGCUCUCGGGUGACGAGCGGCGGACGGGUGAGUAAUGUCUGGGAAACUGCCUGAUGGAGGGGGAUAACUACUGGAAACGGUAGCUAAUACCGCAUAAUGUCGCAAGACCAAAGUGGGGGACCUUCGGGCCUCAUGCCAUCAGAUGUGCCCAGAUGGGAUUAGCUAGUAGGUGGGGUAAUGGCUCACCUAGGCGACGAUCCCUAGCUGGUCUGAGAGGAUGACCAGCCACACUGGAACUGAGACACGGUCCAGACUCCUACGGGAGGCAGCAGUGGGGAAUAUUGCACAAUGGGCGCAAGCCUGAUGCAGCCAUGCCGCGUGUGUGAAGAAGGCCUUCGGGUUGUAAAGCACUUUCAGCGGGGAGGAAGGCGAUAAGGUUAAUAACCUCAUCGAUUGACGUUACCCGCAGAAGAAGCACCGGCUAACUCCGUGCCAGCAGCCGCGGUAAUACGGAGGGUGCAAGCGUUAAUCGGAAUUACUGGGCGUAAAGCGCACGCAGGCGGUCUGUCAAGUCGGAUGUGAAAUCCCCGGGCUCAACCUGGGAACUGCAUUCGAAACUGGCAGGCUAGAGUCUUGUAGAGGGGGGUAGAAUUCCAGGUGUAGCGGUGAAAUGCGUAGAGAUCUGGAGGAAUACCGGUGGCGAAGGCGGCCCCCUGGACAAAGACUGACGCUCAGGUGCGAAAGCGUGGGGAGCAAACAGGAUUAGAUACCCUGGUAGUCCACGCCGUAAACGAUGUCGAUUUGGAGGUUGUGCCCUUGAGGCGUGGCUUCCGGAGCUAACGCGUUAAAUCGACCGCCUGGGGAGUACGGCCGCAAGGUUAAAACUCAAAUGAAUUGACGGGGGCCCGCACAAGCGGUGGAGCAUGUGGUUUAAUUCGAUGCAACGCGAAGAACCUUACCUGGUCUUGACAUCCACAGAACUUUCCAGAGAUGGAUUGGUGCCUUCGGGAACUGUGAGACAGGUGCUGCAUGGCUGUCGUCAGCUCGUGUUGUGAAAUGUUGGGUUAAGUCCCGCAACGAGCGCAACCCUUAUCCUUUGUUGCCAGCGGUUCGGCCGGGAACUCAAAGGAGACUGCCAGUGAUAAACUGGAGGAAGGUGGGGAUGACGUCAAGUCAUCAUGGCCCUUACGACCAGGGCUACACACGUGCUACAAUGGCAUAUACAAAGAGAAGCGACCUCGCGAGAGCAAGCGGACCUCAUAAAGUAUGUCGUAGUCCGGAUUGGAGUCUGCAACUCGACUCCAUGAAGUCGGAAUCGCUAGUAAUCGUAGAUCAGAAUGCUACGGUGAAUACGUUCCCGGGCCUUGUACACACCGCCCGUCACACCAUGGGAGUGGGUUGCAAAAGAAGUAGGUAGCUUAACCUUCGGGAGGGCGCUUACCACUUUGUGAUUCAUGACUGGGGUGAAGUCGUAACAAGGUAACCGUAGGGGAACCUGCGGUUGGAUCACCUCCUUACCUUAAAGAA
This 1550-nucleotide ribosomal RNA is filed under the name Klebsiella pneumoniae. Its description in RNAcentral is "bacterial SSU rRNA". It matches the Rfam family "Bacterial small subunit ribosomal RNA". Lineage: Bacteria; Pseudomonadati; Pseudomonadota; Gammaproteobacteria; Enterobacterales; Enterobacteriaceae. The record is from RNAcentral.